RNAcentral lists this ribosomal RNA (584 nucleotides) under uncultured bacterium. RNAcentral's name for it is "bacterial SSU rRNA". It matches the Rfam family "Bacterial small subunit ribosomal RNA", at positions 28 to 638 of the family's 1533-position model. The record is from RNAcentral.
GACGAACGCUUGCGACGUGCCUAAGAAAUGCAAGUCGAACGAGGUAGCAAUACCUAGUGGCGAACGGUCGCGUAACACGUGGGCAACCUGCCCCAGAGCGGGGGACAACAAUCCGAAAGGGUUGCUAAUACCGCAUGUGAAUGGAGAUGGCAUCAUCUCCUAUUCAAAGCCUUGUGCACUCUGGGGUGGGCCCGCGGCCUAUCAGCUAGUUGGUGGGGUAACGGCCUACCAAGGCAUCGACGGGUAGCUGGUCUGAGAGGACGAUCAGCCGGAUUGGGACUGAGAUACGGCCCAGACUCCUACGGGGGGCAGCAAUUAGGAAUCUUGCACAAUGGGGGAAACCCUGAUGCAGCGACGUCGCGUGGAGGAUGAAAUCUUUCGGGAUGUAAACUCCUUUUAACGGGGAAGAAAAAAAUGACGGUACCCGUUGAAUAAGCCCCGGCUAACUACGUGCCAGCAGCCGCGGUAAUACGUAGGGGGCGAGCGUUGUCCGAAGUUACUGGGCGUAAAGAGCGCGUAGGCUGGUCUUUAAGUGAGUGGUGAAAGGUUCGGGCUCAACCCGGACACUGCCUUUCAUACUGGGG